GAGAAAUUAUGGUUGAACCGUAUCGAGUCACUCCGGGCUAGCAUUAGGGUUUAGUUAUAUAAAUCCAAACCCCCUUCACCGUAUUCUCAUUUCGCCUCGGAGAAUUUAGAGUUUCGAGAGUCGAGACAGAGCGUCGGUUUUCCUCAGGCCAAACACCAUGAGAGCCAAGUGGAAGAAGAAGCGCAUGAGGAGGCUGAAGAGGAAGCGCCGAAAGAUGAGGCAGAGAUCCAAGUAGAACAAGACAAAGUCGCCUUCAGAGGUUUUCCCUAUUGCCAUUAGGUCGUUUUUCCCUUUUCAAUGUCGUAUUUAUGUCCUGAGUCUGCGAAACAAACACUGGAUUUCGCUGUUCCUGUAAUGUUUUGACUGAAAUCUAUUUAAUGAUUAUUAGUUUGGAUCUU
Long non-coding RNA from Corylus avellana, 398 nucleotides. RefSeq lists it as uncharacterized. Lineage: Eukaryota; Viridiplantae; Streptophyta; Magnoliopsida; Fagales; Betulaceae. The record is from RefSeq and is a predicted model, not a curated record.